CAGCCGUAAACUAUGCGCGUUAGGUGUAUCGGUGACCACGAGUUACCGAGGUGCCGAAGGGAAACCGUGAAACGUGCCGCCUGGGAAGUACGGUCGCAAGGCUGAAACUUAAAGGAAUUGGCGGGGGAGCACCACAACAGGUGGAGCCUGCGGUUUAAUUGGACUCAACGCCGGGAAGCUCACCGGAUAGGACAGCAGAAUGAUUGCCGGGCUGAAGACCCUGCAUGACUAGCUGAGAGGUGGUGCAUGGCGUCAGUGACUG
Molecule: ribosomal RNA, 262 nt
Filed under: uncultured archaeon
Lineage: Archaea
Description: partial 16S ribosomal RNA
Rfam family: Archaeal small subunit ribosomal RNA
Source: RNAcentral